UGGGGAAUAUUGCGCAAUGGGCGAAAGCCUGACGCAGCGACGCCGCGUGAGGGAUGAAGGCUUCGGGUUGUAAACCUCUUUCAGCUCCGACGAAGCGAAAGUGACGGUAGG
RNAcentral lists this ribosomal RNA (111 nucleotides) under uncultured bacterium. Its description in RNAcentral is "partial 16S ribosomal RNA". It matches the Rfam family "Bacterial small subunit ribosomal RNA", at positions 355 to 479 of the family's 1533-position model. The record is from RNAcentral.